CAGGGGAGAGUUUGAUCCUGGCUCAGAUUGAACGCUAGCGGGAUGCCUUACACAUGCAAGUCGAACGGCAGCACGGACUUCGGUCUGGUGGCGAGUGGCGAACGGGUGAGUAAUGUAUCGGAACGUGCCCAGUAGCGGGGGAUAACUACGCGAAAGCGUAGCUAAUACCGCAUACGCCCUACGGGGGAAAGCAGGGGAUCGCAAGACCUUGCACUAUUGGAGCGGCCGAUAUCGGAUUAGCUAGUUGGUGGGGUAACGGCUCACCAAGGCGACGAUCCGUAGCUGGUUUGAGAGGACGACCAGCCACACUGGGACUGAGACACGGCCCAGACUCCUACGGGAGGCA
This 346-nucleotide ribosomal RNA is filed under the name Achromobacter sp. BH20. Its description in RNAcentral is "bacterial SSU rRNA". It matches the Rfam family "Bacterial small subunit ribosomal RNA", at positions 1 to 350 of the family's 1533-position model. Lineage: Bacteria; Pseudomonadati; Pseudomonadota; Betaproteobacteria; Burkholderiales; Alcaligenaceae. The record is from RNAcentral.